Molecule: ribosomal RNA, 509 nt
Filed under: uncultured bacterium
Lineage: Bacteria
Description: bacterial SSU rRNA
Rfam family: Bacterial small subunit ribosomal RNA
Source: RNAcentral
AGAGUUUGAUCAUGGCUCAGGAUGAACGCUGGCGGCGUGCCUAACGCAUGCAAGUCGAGCGAGGACCGCCCGGUGGCAACACCGGGUUGGUGCCUAGCGGCGAACGGGUGAGUAACACGUGGGUAACCUGCCCCCGACACCGGGAUAAGCCUGGGAAACUGGGUCUAAUACCGGAUAUGAGCCUCCUCCGCAUGGUGGGGGCUGGAAAGGGUCUCCGGUCGGGGAUGGGCCCGCGUCCUAUCAGCUUGUUGGUGGGGUAACGGCCUACCAAGGCGACGACGGGUAGCCGGCCUGAGAGGGUGUACGGCCACACUGGGACUGAGACACGGCCCAGACUCCUACGGGAGGCAGCAGUAGGGAAUCUUGCGCAAUGGGCGAAAGCCUGACGCAGCAACGCCGCGUGGGGGAUGAAGGCUCUCGGGUUGUAAACCCCUUUCAGCAGGGACGAACACUGACGGUACCUGCAGAAGAAGCCCCGGCCAACUACGUGCCAGCAGCGGCGGUAAUAC